GAAUCCAACAUGGAACUGGGAUUUAAAAGUCAGAGUUGAUCUGCAGAUGGUUAGACUGGUGGUGUUAAAGGUGACCCAUUAAGCUUCCUUGAACAUGUUAGGAUAUAUCUACGAACAAUACAAAAAAAAUGUUCAUUACAUUUUUGCACAUAAUUAUUCAGCUUUAGGGGCUCCUGUCACUUUAAAUCCAAACAAGCUGCUGCUGGCCACGCCCCCAACUCAACGUUUAGACUCGCACUUGAAAAUGGCUGCCAACAGACGUUAUACAAACAUCUUUCCUGGUAAGUCAGUAGCCAUGUGCUGAACCUUUGACUGGGUUGCUAGGUAACGGGCUGGAGUUGCUAAGCAAUGGCAGGUUUUUGAAACGGUUUUCUAAACUCUAAAAGUGUUAAUUUCGGCUGCAUUCACACUGCAGCCUGGAGUGACCCAAUUUCGAUUUUUAUUUUUAUUUUUUUGAUGUAAUGCUACCUGUAUCUAAUAUUUUCAUGGCAGCCUGAACAGAUUUUUUUUUUAUGUCACCUUAACCUCCAGGUCUCAUCCAACCGAUUUGAACGUCAUUGAUAACCGACCAACGUCACUAUUCUGUGUCCUGAUAUGCUCAAGCGGGAAGAAAAACAACAACCAUGGUGGACGAUAAUGAGGAUUAAGUUGUUAAUAUGCUGAUUCCGGUGGGACAACAACUUCAAAAUCGUUAAAUGAAUCACACCUGGGAUGGAGCUGCAGGUGACACUCGACACGCUGAACAAGACGUGAAACCGAACAGGUGGGAAUGUAAAGAACCAGCAGCUGAAAUAAGUUGCAACAUACAAAGAACGAUAAAUAAUAAAUAUGUUCUCUCACAGAAACAGGCCAACAUGAGUUUCAUACAGCUGAAAUGAGCUCGUUGUGAUCAAACCGCAUCUGCUCCAAACACCCAGAACCGCUUCAGAACCAGCAGGGACAAGAAAGUGGCUGCAGCCUGCGAUCGAGUGUUUCCUCUGCAGAGCGACUUCAGGCUGAAGGCGGAGUCUCCGG
Gambusia affinis (western mosquitofish) is the source of this 1014-nucleotide long non-coding RNA. RefSeq lists it as uncharacterized. The record is from RefSeq and is a predicted model, not a curated record. NCBI's taxonomy places the organism in Eukaryota, Metazoa, Chordata, Actinopteri, Cyprinodontiformes, Poeciliidae. The transcript has 3 exons.